Molecule: ribosomal RNA, 407 nt
Filed under: uncultured prokaryote
Description: bacterial SSU rRNA
Rfam family: Bacterial small subunit ribosomal RNA
Source: RNAcentral
UGGGGAAUAUUGGGCAAUGGGCGAAAGCCUGACCCAGCGACGCCGCGUGAGGGAAGAAGAUCUUCGGAUUGUAAACCUCUGUCAACAGGGACGAAACAAAUGACGGUACCUGUGGAGGAAGCCACGGCUAACUACGUGCCAGCAGCCGCGGUAAUACGUAGGUGGCGAGCGUUAUCCGGAUUUACUGGGUGUAAAGGGUGUGUAGGCGGGGAUGCAAGUCAGGUGUGAAAACUAUGGGCUCAACCCAUAAAGUGCACUUGAAACUGUAUCUCUUGAGUGUCGGAGGGGCAAAUGGAAUUCCCAGUGUAGCGGUGAAAUGCGUAGAUAUUGGGAGGAACACCAGUGGCGAAGGCGAUUUGCUGGACGACAACUGACGCUGAUACACGAAAGCGUGGGGAGCAAACAGG